UCCUGGCUCAGAUUGAACGCUGGCGGCAGGCCUAACACAUGAAAGUCGGACGGUAGCACAGAGAGCUUGCUCUCGGGUGACGAGUGGCGGACGGGUGAGUAAUGUCUGGGAAACUGCCUGAUGGAGGGGGAUAACUACUGGAAACGGUAGCUAAUACCGCAUAAUGUCGCAAGACCAAAGAGGGGGACCUUCGGGCCUCUUGCCAUCAGAUGUGCCCAGAUGGGAUUAGCUAGUAGGUGGGGUAACGGCUCACCUAGGCGACGAUCCCUAGCUGGUCUGAGAGGAUGACCAGCCACACUGGAACUGAGGCACGGUCCAGACUCCUACGGGAGGCAGCAGUGGGGAAUAUUGCACAAUGGGCGCAAGCCUGAUGCAGCCAUGCCGCGUGUGUGAAGAAGGCCUUCGGGUUGUAAAGCACUUUCAGCAGGGAGGAAGGCGGCACGGUUAAUAACCGUGCUGAUUGACGUUACCUGCARAARAARCACCGGCUAACUCCGUGCCAGCAGCCGCGGUAAUACGGAGGGUGCAAGCGUUAAUCGGAAUUACUGGGCGUAAAGCGCACGCAGGCGGUCUGUCAAGUCGGAUGUGAAAUCCCCGGGCUCAACCUGGGAACUGCAUUCGAAACUGGCAGGCUARAGUCUCGUAGAGGGAGGUAGAAUUCCAGGUGUAGCGGUGAAAUGCGUAGAGAUCUGGAGGAAUACCGGUGGCGAAGGCGGCCUCCUGGACGAAGACUGACGYUCAGGUGCGAAAGCGUGGGGAGCAAACAGGAUUAGAUACCYUGGUAGUCCACGCCGUAAACGAUGUCGAUUUGGAGGUUGUGCCCUUGAGGCGUGGCUUCCGGAGCUAACGCGUUAAAUCGACCGCCUGGGGAGUACGGCCGCAAGGUUAAAACUCAAAUGAAUUGACGGGGGCCCGCACAAGCGGUGGAGCAUGUGGUUUAAUUCGAUGCAACGCGAAGAACCUUACCUGGUCUUGACAUCCACAGAACUUAGCAGAGAUGCUUUGGUGCCUUCGGGAACUGUGAGACAGGUGCUGCAUGGCUGUCGUCAGCUCGUGUUGUGAAAUGUUGGGUUAAGUCCCGCAACGAGCGCAACCCUUAUCCUUUGUUGCCAGCGGUCCGGCCGGGAACUCAAAGGAGACUGCCAGUGAUAAACUGGAGGAAGGUGGGGAUGACGUCAAGUCAUCAUGGCCCUUACGACCAGGGCUACACACGUGCUACAAUGGCGCAUACAAAGAGAAGCGACCUCGCGAGAGCAAGCGGACCUCAUAAAGUGCGUCGUAGUCCGGAUUGGAGUCUGCAACUCGACUCCAUGAAGUCGGAAUCGCUAGUAAUCGUGAAUCAGAAUGUCACGGUGAAUACGUUCCCGGGCCUUGUACACACCGCCCGUCACACCAUGGGAGUGGGUUGCAAAAGAAGUAGGUAGCUUAACCUUCGGGAGGGCGCUUACCACUUUGUGAUUCAUGACUGGGGUGAAGUCGUAACAAGGUAACCAAGGGCGAAUUCCACAGUG
RNAcentral lists this ribosomal RNA (1511 nucleotides) under uncultured bacterium. RNAcentral's name for it is "bacterial SSU rRNA". It matches the Rfam family "Bacterial small subunit ribosomal RNA". The record is from RNAcentral.